This 427-nucleotide ribosomal RNA is filed under the name uncultured prokaryote. Its description in RNAcentral is "bacterial SSU rRNA". It matches the Rfam family "Bacterial small subunit ribosomal RNA", at positions 355 to 774 of the family's 1533-position model. The record is from RNAcentral.
UGGGGAAUUUUGGACAAUGGGCGCAAGCCUGAUCCAGCCAUGCCGCGUGAGUGAAGAAGGCCUUCGGGUUGUAAAGCUCUUUCGGUUGGGAAGAAAUUGCUUCGGAUAAUACCCGGAGUAGAUGACGGUACCAGCAUAAGAAGCACCGGCUAACUACGUGCCAGCAGCCGCGGUAAUACGUAGGGUGCGAGCGUUAAUCGGAAUUACUGGGCGUAAAGCGUGCGCAGGCGGUUUUGUAAGGCAGAUGUGAAAGCCCCUGGCUCAACCUGGGAACUGCAUUUGAGACUGCAAGGCUAGAGUGUGGCAGAGGGGGGGGGAAUUCCACGUGUAGCAGUGAAAUGCGUAGAGAUGUGGAGGAACACCGAUGGCGAAGGCAGCCCCCUGGGCCAAUACUGACGCUCAUGCACGAAAGCGUGGGGAGCAAACA